Long non-coding RNA from Oncorhynchus masou masou (cherry salmon), 839 nucleotides. RefSeq lists it as uncharacterized. The record is from RefSeq and is a predicted model, not a curated record. The transcript has 3 exons. Lineage: Eukaryota; Metazoa; Chordata; Actinopteri; Salmoniformes; Salmonidae.
CACCUACAAUACAUUGAGUACAAUAGUAUCAGUCAUUAUACCCAUAAAACCUAGCGCUAAACCCCGGAAAUAGUUCUAAUAUUUUUUAAACAUUAAUUUUUGCGUCUGGGAUUUUAGAACUAUUUCAUAUAAACUCUGUGUUUCAUAUUGGCUUAACCUGGCACGACAUUUUGGAUAACCGCGCAAAUCUCUCAGACAUGGUAAAUUGUAUCUAUAUAUUCACGGGUAAUUACCUCCCAAAAUGAAAUGCCAAUGGGACUUUCAUAAAGAACUACACGUCUUGUCGCAAAGUAUGACGUCAAACCCUCAAGGCACCGUUCUCCACGCAAACUCAUCGACAAGUAGCCUAGCAAGAAACAGAUAUUAUAGGCGUUUCAGUUUCUCGUGUGUAUAUCGUUCAGCAUUUUUUUUUAAAUUGCAUAGCUUGCUACCUUAGCGUCUUUAAAUGACUAUAAUUUAUUAAGUUACCCUCUGCCUUUGUAGAUAACUAGCUGUGCUAUGUAACGUUACCGGAUUGUAACCACUACUCCAAUAAGUACAUGUUAUCCAACCUCUAAGUGAGAGGCAUCGCUAGAGCUGUGUGAUAAGAUGGACGGACCGGAAACCCAGUGACAACACUCGAGUCUGUAGCUGCCAUUUUCCAGUGGGAAAGAGAUGGCUCUGUAUUUACCAGAGGAGGUAGUUCAUCCAUCAUGGUGGAUGAGGAAGAUCCAGACUGUGUAUAGGCAAACAAGAACAAACAAAUAGGAUUGAGUGUCCAACAGGAGUGAAUCCCCCAGGCUAUCCGGUGCAUGGACAUCCUGUGGCAGUGUGAUCCGGUUGUGGAGGCGACAGCAGAU